Molecule: ribosomal RNA, 253 nt
Filed under: uncultured bacterium
Lineage: Bacteria
Description: partial 16S ribosomal RNA
Rfam family: Bacterial small subunit ribosomal RNA
Source: RNAcentral
UACGUAGGUGACAAGCGUUGUCCGGAUUUACUGGGCGUAAAGAGCGCGCAGGCGGUCGAUCAAGUCGAGUGUGAAAGCCCCCGGCUCAACUGGGGAGGGUCAUUCGAUACUGAUCGACUCGAAGGCAGGAGAGGGUAGUGGAGUUCCCGGUGUAGUGGUGAAAUGCGUAGAUAUCGGGAGGAACACCAGUGGCGAAGGCGACUACCUGGCCUGUUCUUGACGCUGAGGCGCGAAAGCUAGGGGAGCAAACGGG